Non-coding RNA from Maylandia zebra (zebra mbuna), 5849 nucleotides. Lineage: Eukaryota; Metazoa; Chordata; Actinopteri; Cichliformes; Cichlidae. The record is from RefSeq and is a predicted model, not a curated record.
CCAACUUCAACGUUUUUCAUUUUAAAGUUGUUUUUUUUUGUGGGGUGGGCGGGGGUUUAUUAUUAUUUUUUGUUAAGCCACAUCACCUGGUUUUACAUGGCAAACUUGAGGUUUUCACUGAAGUAGAAGACCACAAAUACUGGCAUUUUCCACCUUCUCAUAUCAAAUAUUAGCAUUUGAUAAGUUUAGAUAUAUCCUAGUCUGCUAAGGAUUCCUAAUAUCAUUAGAAAAGUUUUUUGGCUAGAUUUUAUAUGUUUGUUUCCAUUUCCAAAGUAUUAAUUAAGAGACAGUUUUUUCAGAUGGCUGAUGCCAUCAACACUAUAAAAGAUGGGCAUAGCUACUUGUUUUGAAGCCUCAAAAUGAGUGAUUUUGGCAUUGUGAAACCAGAUGUAGUGGAGCCAAAGUAAGCCAUAGUGAGCAUAUCCUGGAUAAUCCUCCUUUCUGACAUACAGAUUGACCAGAAUAUACAAAAUAAACUUAACGUUUUAGACAGUGUGACCCGAAAUGAGCAACUGACCUGAUAAACUCGGUAGCAAAAUGUUGACAGACAUGCAGACAGAGGGCCGUUUUCUUUACUUCUACAGAAACUGAAAUCUCAGCCUAUUGUUGGCCUUUGGAAAGAAUGCCAUCUUUAUUAUAGGACUUGUAUGGGUAUAGCAUGACACAUGUGCAAUAAAGGAAAAAAUCAAUUGCAUAUUGAUCAUUUUAAUAGUGUUUAUCAGCAUAGAUGUGUUGUUCCAAAGUGACCUACUGCCUUGACCUUUGAAGCAUUAUUCCACUGUAGUCAGGCAGACCUUGUUGGAGACGGUCCAGCUGUGCUAUUAGAUGUUCGGGAGGCACAUUCUCAAAAUAAAGUUGUCUGCAGCAACAAAUCAACAUCCAAGCUCUCUGAAUAAAUCCUUUCUAAUCACAAAAAUAAUAAUAACAGCAUAGAAUGGGAGUAAAAUGCAGAAUUAGCUUUAUCAGGUGACAUGAGAUCUUCAGUGCAGCUGAUUUUUGAUUAGACUUUUUCACAUCUUUACAUCAGAUAAUCAGAGAAACUCCAAUAUGGCUCUGGGCUCCAAUUCUGUCCAUGACUAAUGUUAGAUUAUAUGUUGACCAGUUAUUUAUUUUACAGUACAUGUGAGACAUAUGUAGUUAUUUCUGUUGUCCUGUUUUUGUUCUGUUCUUUACAUCCCACGUUCCUGUGUUACGUCAUCUAAUUUAAUUAAAUUUAAGUAGCUGCUUUUAUAUUGAUUUACUUUUUCAUUGUUUUAGUAUUUUUGUGCUCAAAGCAUAAAAACAAAAAAUCCAGAAACUUUGGUUUUACUCAUUUCAGCUUUGAGUUGUCUUGGUUAAAUCUCUUCAACCUGGAUUUGGGUGGUUUAUCCAAUUCAUCCGAGCUAAUCUGCAUCUUCAAACGUCAUCAGAUUGGAUGGGAAGUGUCUUCUUUGUGCCUCUCAAAAGAUGUUCUGAUGGAUUAAAAUUUUGGCUUGGCCACUUAAGAACCAACAGUGACUUGCCCUGAAGCUUUUCCAGCAUUGCAAUGGCUCUGUUCUUUAGUUCAUUGAUUCAUGGUAUGCUGAAGGAUGACUGGAUGUCUCAGCCUGUGGUAGAAGCACUCAGUAGUUGGGUUUUCUUCCAAAACUUUUUUUUUUUAUUGGGCAAAAACAUGUUGUCACUGUGUUAUUAAGUUUAGAUUAAUCAGGAAAUGUAUAAAUGUAAUCCAACAAAAGCGUGUAAAAAGUGAAGUAUUUUUGAAGCCUCUACAGUUUUGCAUUUAUUUUUUAUUUUUUGGCUUAGUUUUUUUUUUUUUUUUUUUUUUUACUUGAUCACAACCUUUUAACUCACUGAGGACAGGAAAAGCCUAUGUUUUUGCACCUGAAACACGACAACAGUGGCAUGUAUUUAGAUGCUAAUUACAAAAUCCACUAUAUUAAAAUGUCAAUUUCAUCUUUGAGUCAGUGAUUUCUUUUUGGGGUUUGUUUUUUUGUGUGUGUGUGUGUGUUUAAAGUGCAGCUCACAGUUUUCCAUAAAUCAAAUAACACCUUAUGUGAUCAAAGAAUAUUGAGGAAAAAAAGAUUUGAUUGGCUGCUGAUAAAUGUUGAUUUUUGUGCAUCAGUGAACCAGCUGCGAAAGUUCAAAGCUGUUCCAACUUGUGGGGGAGUAUAGCUGUAGCGUGCUGGGUUUACUGUAGGCUGUCAUUCAAAGCAAAUCAAAGACCAGGGCUUAACAAAUGGGUCAUUAGGAAGCAGUAUAUUUAUUAUCAUUUUCCUUUAUUCAUUUAGGUAAACAUCUCAUUAAGAUUAAAACCUCUUUCAUGAGAGACCUGGCCAACAGGGCAGCAGAAGUUACAAUAAAUACAUACACAUAACACUAUAUCAAGCAAAGAAACAAGUACUAUAGCUUAAAAUUUUAACCACAAAUUGAAUCUGACAGUGUGUUAAAUAACAUUUUUUUCAAAUAAAUAUUUGUUACUUUAGUUUUCUUGACAGCUAAACAUAUUAAUUUUCCAACAACAGAUUUCAUUGCCAUAUUGAAGUGCUACUUACAGUAUAUUUGAUUUUUAGAUGUUCAACAAUAAUUUGCUGAUAGUAUGAAGCGUUGACUCUGUCUCCCAGUUACUUGGCAGAAAAUUCUGCCUUUCUGUAGGCUGGUUUGCAGCAUUGUGUAUGUUUUCUACAGGUGUUAUCUUUUAUUUUGGUUGUAAAUUAUGCAGACGUUGUUUGUAUGGGUAAAAUAGUUAUAAUGUACAAGCCACUUAUGUCUAAAAGUAUAGUUGGAAGAGAAACCUCAGUAAAACGAACUAAGUAAAUGUGUGGUUAUUAGUUUACUCUGGCCCACCUUUUAUUCAUAAAGUGAGUGAUGUUUUAGCAGAAGUCUAUCAGCCACUAGAGGGGAGAAGAUCGAGUGGCAGUCCUUGCAUGUUAGCAGUCAGUAGCCAGAUUACACACCUAGCGCAUGUAGACAGGAGUUGUAAUUCUUUACUCCAUUGUUCACCUUCCUCUCAGCUCUGGUUGAGUCUCCUCCAUAAAUUAAACUGGAUUUGUGGCUGUUUAAUGUUUGUGUCUUUGUUUUUUGCCUGUCUGCCGUUUGGUGAAAUUGUUUGGGCUGGCCAGAGCAGCAAGACCAAACCGGGUAGUAAAUGUGCCGUAAAACCAAAACUAAAGCUGAAAGAGGCUAAAAAGCUCCGUACCAUGCUGCAUAAUUGUGAGUUCUCUGUGAGUGUCAGUUUUUAACAUAGUCAUGUCAAGUUUUCGUUGAAAGAAAUUGAUGAAAAUGAAUUAUGAGGCAAAACAUGACAUGCAGUUGCUUAACUACUUUAACUAGAUGACAUGCAACUUAUUAGGACUAAUAAAGUUAGGGAAAUUGCUUCAAUAUUGAUUAACUUUACAAUCGCAAUCGCAGCUCGGGUCAAACAGAUUAACACUAAAAGUCUUUGUAUCUGAGAUCUGAACACAUCUCCAAAUGGGCAAGAAUUUUCCUCAACCAAUGCCUUUAAUUGUGACAAUCUUCUAGGACAAAUUGUCGGUUUUUACCUGAACCCUUCUUCCAAUAUUACUCAUCGUGUCUUCAUUUCAGUCCCACCCCCUCCCUUUUCUUUUUUUUAAAUCUUCCGUCCAUCUCUUGCUGUUUUUGACCGUCAUUUUCUCCAUGAACCUAUCGUGUCUUAAGUGUUGUUUUUAAAUUCACUUUGAAAGUUUACACUGUUUGCGGUCAUGUUGUGCCUGUUAUAAUAACUCUUCUGUCUGAUCCUCUGUAAAGUUUGUGAGCUACUGAAUAUUUUAAUGCAUUAUUGAUUAUAGAUUAUAAAUCAGAGGCAAAAGAGAACAGAAGUCAGAUGUUUUGGGUUUUUUUGUGUAUGUCAGAUUUAUCAAAACAACAAAUCAAUCUAAGUACCUCUAAGAGCUUUUAUUUUUGGAUCUCCUGUGUGUGAAUUCUCUCUGAUGCCUGCGGUUUGUACUCGUUCGUUCAGUUUUCAAUGUGUGUAUCGAUGCCUGUGUGUUUGUUGCACUGUCAGCAUGUUUGACAGUAUGAGAACGGAUUGACCUGUUCAGUGUUUCUGAUGCAGGAGCUGCAAAACAUUUGUUGGUUUUAUCCAGUUUUUUUUUUUGUUUGUUUGGUUUUUUUUGUUUUGUUUUUUUGGCUUUGUUUGCUUUUGUUUUGCUUCUUUUCUUUUUUUUCCCGACAUGUCAGCUGCGACUUGAUACAGAUGGCCACUGCGUCUUAUAGUCAGCUAAAAUGCAUUAUAAAGGUAUCUGAUACCAACCACGGUGUGGUGUUUCUGUCUGGAGGAGGAAGUUGCAAAUACAUUUAUCAUUGCACAUUUAUGUUAAUAUUUUAGUUUCCUUGAUAAAUUGCUCACGAAUUAAACUUACAUAUAUGCAUUUUUAUCUUGUGGAAGCAGACGUGAUUGGCCUAUUAUAUACACUUCUCUGAAUUUUGCCUGUGGGAAUGUGACUGUCUUGACUGUACUUAUUCUACUAAGUUUACAUUUUCUGCCUUUUGUUUUUUUUAAACAAAUCUCUUUCCCCAUGAAAAAAAAACCUUUCAGAAGUGCUCCAAAGCUUGAUAAAUUAUAACAGUGUGUGAUGCAGCAUAAUCCAGCUAAAGUUUAAAAUGUUCCUCCAAGUUGAUGUUUGAAAAUAUAUUUCAUGUAUCAAUCUUUUCAUGUAGUUUGUAUGACUUUGAUGGAUAUAUACUCUUUCGGAAAUCAUUAACCUGAAUUCAAAAACUCCACUAGGUUCACAAGAAACUGUUCUCACCACACUCGGCAGAGCAGUGUCACCACAGGCCAGGUACAGAAAAGCUGUCAGCAUCAUUAAGGUGGCACAUUUCAUUCACUCCCUGGGUUAGGUUACAUACCCAAAGUGUGUGGGGCUAAAAUGAGCAGGGGUCUGCUGGACGAGGAUUUUCAGCAAAGUUUCAGCAAAGCAUUGUUUACUUGCUGCUUAUUCAUCAGAAAUUGUUCAGUAAAUGACUUUUUCCCCCAACAUAGUUUUCAGAGAUAGUUGCAGACAGUCAAGUUAAGAUAGCAAACGUGAAAUAAUGGAAAGUCUUGCUGUUCCUGAUUGCUUGGCUGUUUCGUGUGCUGUGUCACAUAUUGUUAUAUCUAAAGACCAUAAUGCGCCCAGUGAUCUUUAACCUUGUCUGUUGUGCAUUGUCUUUUUUGGCAAAUUGCCUACAUGAGUGAAGAAAAGCAUACAAAAAGAACAAUUACACAAUUUCCUGUAUUGUGUUCUCAUAAACAGACAAUAUAUUUGUCACAAAGUUAGUUUUAAAUGCAACCCCUAUGUGACUGUGGCGCAAAGUAGGUCCUGUUCUGAGUCAGUAGUAAUCACAAAAAGCAAAAAAUAUAAUGUGAUAACUCUUUGACUUAGGAAAAUAGUUGUGUUAUUCUUAUGCAAUACUCAAUGCUGCUUCCAUUUCAGGAAAACCUUGUUCCUCACAACAACAAACAAAACAAAACCCAAAGUCAGUCCAGUCAUUGAAUCUUCUGGACAGGAAUGCCCUGCCGUGGUGUUGACUAUCAGACCAAAAUCAAGAUUUUAUGGUGAAAUAACCAAACCUGCCUGAACAUUUGACCAAAACUUUGAGAAUUUUUUUUUUGUGAAUCAUUUUCUUUUGUCAUGAUUUUACUUGUGUUGCCUUUGACACGAUGCUAGUUUUGUUUGUAACAGUUAUAAAAUGUAAAAAGGAACAAACAAACAAAAAAGCAAAAAGGUUUUGAGAGUGUAAUAAGCCGGAACUGAACGUGUAUGUAUUGAUGAGUAUCUUUGUCAGUUGUUUGCAUUUUAUCUAGCCGAAGCGUUUGUUAUAGAUUGACUUUGCAACUUGAGAGCUGAUUAAAAAUGAACUUAGUACUAUAA